Molecule: ribosomal RNA, 518 nt
Filed under: uncultured bacterium
Lineage: Bacteria
Description: bacterial SSU rRNA
Rfam family: Bacterial small subunit ribosomal RNA
Source: RNAcentral
ACGAACGCUGGCGGCGUGCCUAAUACAUGCAAGUCGAACGGCUUUUCUAUGGAAGCUUGCUUCCACUGAGAAGAUAGUGGCGAACGGGUGAGUAACACGUGGGUAACCUGCCCGAUAAGAGGGGGGAUAACAUCCGGAAACGGGUGCUAAUACCGCAUAGUUUUCUUGAUCGCAUGAUUGAGAAAGGAAAGACGGCCUUUGUGCUGUCGCUUAUGGAUGGACCCGCGGCGUAUUAGUUAGUUGGUGAGGUAACGGCUCACCAAGACGAUGAUACGUAGCCGACCUGAGAGGGUGAUCGGCCACAUUGGGACUGAGACACGGCCCAAACUCCUACGGGAGGCAGCAGUAGGGAAUCUUCCGCAAUGGACGAAAGUCUGACGGAGCAACGCCGCGUGAGUGAAGAAAGGUUUUCGGAUCGUAAAACUCUGUUGUCAGAGAAGAACAAGUUGGAGAGUAACUGCUCCAGCCUUGACGGUAUCUGACCAGAAAGCCACGGCUAACUACGUGCCAGCAGCCGC